UGGCUUUCGUUAUGGCCUCACGGGAAGAAUUGCGAUAAUCAAAUGGACAGUCAUGCUCGUCAGAGUAGCGAUGAGAUGCACAGAAAAGGUUGCCACAUCGACAUUUGAAACAACCCGUUUCUUGAAAGUGCUGCACUGGCUUGGACCCUCCUUUGGCUUUGCCUCAACACUCUCCCCCAACACUGAAGCACAGGAUGGAUGCACAGAAAUGGUUUUAACUCAACUGUGUUGACUUAAACAUCUACAGUGUCAAGAACAACAGUUUGUUCAAUGUUGUUGCUUGUAGAUCCAUUCACAAUAUUUCCAGUAGUUGAUGCAGCAAGCUUUGCUUGCUCCUGUUUCAACUGCAUAUCUUGUGGCACUUGGAACACAUGUUCUUUGUGGCUGCACUUCCAAAGAAACCACAAUUGUUGAUACACAAAUUUGGGCGUUCAGGAGCAGCUUGACAGCCUGUCUCAUCAUGAUCCAUCUUUUACCUCCCCUGAACCUUAUUCGUUAUUGGAAAUGAUUCCCUUGAACCGAUCUCUUAGCCCAAAACAGAUCGCAAUCGCGGAGAGAGAGAGAGAGAGAGAGAGAGA
RNAcentral lists this unclassified non-coding RNA (578 nucleotides) under Hevea brasiliensis (rubber tree). The record is from RNAcentral. Lineage: Eukaryota; Viridiplantae; Streptophyta; Magnoliopsida; Malpighiales; Euphorbiaceae.